Molecule: ribosomal RNA, 621 nt
Filed under: uncultured bacterium
Lineage: Bacteria
Description: bacterial SSU rRNA
Rfam family: Bacterial small subunit ribosomal RNA
Source: RNAcentral
AACGUGGCGGCUUCGGCCGCAGCGGGAGACCUCGCGCUGGCGGAGGAGCCUGCGUUGGAUUAGCUUGUUGCAGGGUAACGGCCUACCAAGGCGACGAUCCAUAGCUGGUCUGAGAGGACGAUCAGCCACACUGGGACUGAGACACGGCCCAGACGUCUACGGGACGGCAGCAGUAGGGAAUCUUGCACAAUGGGCGAAAGCCUGAUGCAGCCAUGCCGCGUGUGUGAAGAAGGCCUUCGGGUUGUAAAGCACUUUCAGUGGCGAAGAAAAAGCCGGCGCCAAUACCGCCGGCCCUUGACGUUAACCACAGAAGAAGCACCGGCCAACUCCGUGCCAGCAGCCGCGGUAACACGGAGGGUGCGAACGUUAAUCGGAAUUACUGGGCGUAAAGCGCGCGUAGGCGGUUUGUUAAGUGGGAUGUGAAAGCCCCGGGCUCAACCUGGGAAUUGCAUUCCAAACUGGCAAACUAGAGUUCAGUAGAGGGAGGUGGAAUUUCCUGUGUAGCGGGGAAAUGGGUAGAUAUAGGAAGGAACACCAGUGGCGAAGGCGGCCUCCUGGACUGAAACUGACGCUCAUGUGCGAAAGCGUGGGGAGCAAACAGGAUUAGAUACCCUGGUAGUC